GACGGAGGAUGCAAGCGUUAUCCGGAAUGAUUGGGCGUAAAGCGUCCGCAGGUGGCAGUUCAAGUCUGCUGUCAAAGACCGGGGCUUAACUUCGGAAAGGCAGUGGAAACUGAACAGCUAGAGUAUGGUAGGGGCAGAGGGAAUUCCUGGUGUAGCGGUGAAAUGCGUAGAGAUCAGGAAGAACACCGGUGGCGAAAGCGCUCUGCUGGACCUUAACUGACACUGAGGGACGAAAGCUAGGGGAGCGAAUGGG
Molecule: ribosomal RNA, 253 nt
Filed under: uncultured bacterium
Lineage: Bacteria
Description: partial 16S ribosomal RNA
Rfam family: Bacterial small subunit ribosomal RNA
Source: RNAcentral